Dendrobium catenatum is the source of this 2663-nucleotide long non-coding RNA. RefSeq lists it as uncharacterized. The record is from RefSeq and is a predicted model, not a curated record. The transcript is spliced from 2 exons. Lineage: Eukaryota; Viridiplantae; Streptophyta; Magnoliopsida; Asparagales; Orchidaceae.
UUAAUUGCUGCGUUGGAGAGACUCGUUGCCUUCAGUUCUCAGUUCUCACCGAAAUCCUAUUUUAGGGUAACAAGCCGCCAGCGAGAAACUAGUCUCUCUGUUCAUGGGCGAAUUCGAGUUUUGAAAAAUUUUGUUCUUGAAAUCCUGCUUUAGGUAAAUGAAUAUAUUUCCAGAGUUUCUAUUACAUAGACAAAGAAUUUUCCUUUACUUACGUUUUGCCUGCAAGUACGGUGCACCCGGGCGUCUCCGAGAUUGAAAUGACGAUGGUUUCCGCAAUGCUCGUGCAAGAGUAUUCAGCCGUUCUGUGUUACAGUUUCAUACGUGUUAGAUCAACGGCAGAAGUUUUGGAAUUUUCAAUUUUUAGCUGAUUGCUUUUGGUUCUUGCCUUACCUCACCUUUCGCUUUUUAAGAUAUCAAUACCUGAAAAGCUUAGUCAUGAAGGCAUAUAUUGUAUUGCGGGAUUAACGUGGAGACUGCUCUUCUUUUCCUGGGGUUGUCUCUAAAACAUCUCGCUACAUUCCUCUCACGUAUAUUCUCAGUAGCCCAUUUUUUCCUAUUGAAGCAUAGCAUGUAAAGGGCUGAACAUUGUUUAGUCUUAUUCUUCAGUUAAUUUGCUUGUUCUGUUGAUUGCGUGUGUCUAACUUGUUGCCUAAACAAUUACUUGAUGCACUUAUAGGUUAUCGCUUAUCUUUUAUCUAUUUGAUGUCUUAAAGAUCAAACGCGCAUGGCUGCGAGGAUAUUACACAGCAUCUAAUGUCAGUUCUGCUUCUGAAUUUCAUGAAUGAGAAGCUGAUAGUAAAACUGAGCCAUUGCCUUUUUCGUUUGCUUGUUUUAUAUGCUUUUCAUUUUUUUACUUCCUCUCUUUGGUUAGUUCUGGAGCAGUAUUAACCUAAUGAAGCUGAAGAAACCCAUGAUGCUUUGUUCCAAUUAGUGAGCUUUAGCAUGUUCCGAGACCCUGUUUGUCAGGGAGAACCCCUUGGGACUGCUAAAUUAAAAUGAUCUUAUUGGUAUUUGCUGAGGUUGUCACUUUUCUGCUUCUGUUUUGUUUACUGAUGUCAUGGUUUAAGUGAACGAGAUUGCAGGUAAAAGAGUUUUUUGUGUUUGGUUAUGUACUACUUUAUUUACUUUUCACAGCAUCAUAUAUGUAAAUCUUUGUAAAAUUAGCGUUUUGAUAGUAUAGUUUUUCAUUUUUUUAAUCCCAGGUAAGUUAUUUCAGAAGGAUUAGUCACACAAAUGAACCAGUAAUGCGUGAAGCCAUCAUCUUCUUAGACUUUUUAACUGUGUAAUUUCUAGAUACUGUAACUUAUGAAAGCCCUUAACACAUCUAUGGUGUUUAGUUUUUCUUUGUUAUUUGUAUAUUAUGAUCUUUUACCAAUGAUGAUUUGUCUGCAAAAUGGAUGUGUUGUGAAACCAAGACCCUGUUUGUAGGGAGAACCUACUUGGGGAAGCAUCACUAAUAUGACAUCAACAGAUAUGUCUGAGGUUGUAAUAUUAAACUCGAGCCAAACAUUCUUUUUUAUGGUUAAUUGCUUUUUCUUCUUCAUCAUGCCUUAUAUUAUUUUUUAUUCAAUUGGUGUAGCUGUUUAAAAUUUCUUAACAAUCUAAGUAUGAAAAACCAAGUAUAUUUGUAAACAUCUUAAUGGAUACAUUCAUCUUUAUUUCCUUGCAGAACUUAAAAAACUUUGAAUGUUGCAUGUUGUGUGCUUGAUUUCUAUUUCUCUGGAUAUUUUCAAUCGCCAGUUCAGUUUAAGAUUUUGAUUUUAGAAUUUGGUAAUCUUUGAGUUUAACUAUCCUCUUGCGCUGCAUUUAUAUGGUGGGCAUGGAGGCUGAAAAACUCACAUAGUUUGUGUUGUCAUCAGCUUCUUUUUUCAUUGUAAAACUGAAGUUAAACAUGAACACAACAUUUCCUACAUACUAUAUUUGCUCUUUGGUUAUUGAAGCCUGUCCGGUUUGAAAAAAUGCAUUUACUUAAUUGCAAAUUGAGUGUUUGGUUCCAAUGCAAUUUGAUUUUCAUACCUAUGAAAUGCAUUUCUUAUCACUGCAUUCCUCACCUACUGUAGAUGAAAAACAGGAAAGAAAAUGUUUAUGGGGUACUGUUAUGAUUUGCAUGUCUCCACCCACAAUGGCUCAAUUUAUGCUCAACCAAACAAGUGGGAUAAAAUUAAUCUCCACUCAGUUUUUUUCCAUUGCCUCAACUAUUUCUCUUUCAUGUUCCUUCUCCCAAAUCUUUUUAAAGCAGAGCUGAAGUGAAAUUUUUGUAUGGUUCAUCUUUGUAUCAUGAGGAACUUGUGGGCAAGGAAGUGACUGCAGUUGAAGAAUGAUCUUGCAGCCAGAGGUUUUCUUUGUUCUUCGAUCUCGAAUGGAAAAAUUAUUUUGCGGACACCGGAUGCCUUCUGGUGAUCAAUUAGAAUGUGUCACAUCACUUUUUUGCUCCGUACUGUUUGUACUGGAUGAUUUGAUGUAUUCUGAUUGGUCUCCAGACCGUUUGGUAUCCGAACAGAAUAAUUUCUCCCGUGAAUUAGUGGCGGAUUAAGAAAAGUGAUAGCACAUGUCCGGUAGGAGUCAUAAGAGAAUUUGUUUAGUUAAUGUAUAUGUAUGCACAGUUGUUCUAUCGGAUUAUUAGUCUUAUGAUUACUAUAAUGAAAUUUAACUUUGCAAAACAA